RNAcentral lists this non-coding RNA (176 nucleotides) under Vibrio hippocampi. Its description in RNAcentral is "Lysine". It matches the Rfam family "Lysine riboswitch aptamer". From Rfam's summary of the family: Riboswitches are metabolite binding domains within certain messenger RNAs that serve as precision sensors for their corresponding targets. Allosteric rearrangement of mRNA structure is mediated by ligand binding, and this results in modulation of gene expression. The record is from RNAcentral. Lineage: Bacteria; Pseudomonadati; Pseudomonadota; Gammaproteobacteria; Vibrionales; Vibrionaceae.
UCAAGCAGAAGAGGAGCACUGCCCAGGCAGGUAAUAUGUGGAGCCACAACUCCAAUACCUAUUAUCUAUGGGGAGCAGUGCCGAGAUGGACUAGAAUUGUCGGUUUUAGUUUGUCGGUUAAACGGGCUGAAUCCCUUUAACUGUCACCAACCUAUUGGUGAGGAGCUUCUGAGGUC